This is a non-coding RNA of Punica granatum (pomegranate), 102 nucleotides long. The record is from Rfam. NCBI's taxonomy places the organism in Eukaryota, Viridiplantae, Streptophyta, Magnoliopsida, Myrtales, Lythraceae.
UUGGAAGUGAUGAUUAUUUCCCCAAAUGAUCGACGCUGAUUAUACUGUGCUAUUUCUUUCAUUCCUUGUUAUCGAGGAAUCAAGCCAGAAGUUCUGAUCCUU